Helicoverpa zea (corn earworm) is the source of this 3427-nucleotide long non-coding RNA. RefSeq lists it as uncharacterized. The record is from RefSeq and is a predicted model, not a curated record. NCBI's taxonomy places the organism in Eukaryota, Metazoa, Arthropoda, Insecta, Lepidoptera, Noctuidae. The transcript has 2 exons.
AAUAGUACCCAAAUACUAGCACUUACUUUGUAGUGGCCAAAGUAUCUAUCCUAAACAUUGGAUCGUCUUUCGGCACGUGCUGGGGCCCGAUUCUCCUAAUUUUACUUAAGUGACAUACGAUUCACAUUCGAUUGAGAUCCAAUCACGACUCAAUUGCGAUUGAAGCGUAUGUGGCAUUCCGCAAUUUUUUCUUUGAAAUAAGCGUUUUUAUCCUUUUCUGUCAUUUAAUAAUGAAUCAUUUUGUCUGCAAAUGAUUUACGAUUGCAAUAUGUGUUGAAGCGCCUAGCCGUUGCUUCAUAGCAACACGUUUCCGACGGCCUAAUGAAGUUAAUUUUUAAGCAGGCGCAUUAAUGCACCGUUGUCGUCACUUGCUUGUCAUGCAUUGUACUGUGUGCACCAAAAUUAUAUUUCUCCGUUGUUUGAGUAUUUCUACAGUUCUUUUAUUCCUGCAAGACCUCGUAAUCCUCAACAUGGCCCAUUACGAGCAGGAUAUAUGAAGAUCAGCGCUUAAAAUUGAAGGAAGAAAUAAUUAAGGAUCGUCAAUUAGCCGGGCGUGACAAUUAGCCGGCGUGACUUGCAGGUUUUGUGCAGGACAAUUAUUUGGACUGAUCUCAAGCAAUUUAAUUGCGGUGUAUUGCGUUUAUUAUUAUUAAUAUCAUCACCCAACACUCAGGUAAUAUAAAUAUAAGUAAAUCGUCAUGAAAUAUCACAGGUUGAAUACACUUGUCUCCCAGCAUGUCCGAGGAAAGGGAAUUAGUCAAGAAGUGAGGAAGCUUCAAAGGUCGAUUGACUGCUUUCGUUAACUUUCUGGAUUCACUCAAGGACAGAACCCUAACCAGUUGUGACACGGCUGAGCUGCAGCUGCGCAUAGGCAAGAUGGAGUCGUUGUAUGAGCAGUAUGAUGAGGUACAGUUACGUCUGGAAUGCAUUGUCGAGGACAUUAAAUUACAAUUUUCCGAACGUGCUGAUUUUGAGUCUCUUUAUUAUAAAUCCUUGUCUAGGACACAGAAUAUUAUCAGUGAAUAUAAUAAAGAUAAUGGAUCGAUGGAAAGCUGUAAAAGUACUCACACUAAUGUGCAUAAGCCAGUUAAGUUGCCAACAAUUCAGUUACCUAAGUUCAGCGGUUUAUAUACGAAUUGGCUGGAAUUCCGUGACACCUUUAGUAGUCUUGUACAUUGCAAUGAUAGCAUUGACGAUAUUAAUAAAUUCCACUACUUGAGAGCAUCUAUUGAAGGGUCGGCUGCGGUCAUAAAGUAAAUAACCACUAGAGAGCGCACUCGCCAAUUUCUUCUAAGAACACGACUCACCGCUGCGGGCGGGGGGACGCGACAUAAUCCGCGGCUACUAUUGGUCAGUUCAAGGUGGCUACUAAAGGAUCGUACUGAUCGUAGCCUUAUAGUACGCGCAAAAUCACUAACUUUUGGCGAGCGUCGGGGCACUGUAUGCGCAGUCAAGUGGUUUUAUAGUCUUUGGCUGCGGUAGUUAUUAAUUCUAUUGAAUGUUCCUCGAGUAAUUAUUCUGUGGCAUGGCAGUUGUUAUGUGAUCGGUUUGAUAACAGAAGAUUACUCAUACAAAAUCAUGUUUCUGCUUUAUUUAAUGUUGAAAGUAUCACAAAGGAGUCUUCUGUUGUAUUAAAGUCUUUAAUUGAUUUAAUAAAUAAAAACUUGCGAGCAUUAGAGUCGUUAGGUGAGCCUGUUAAGCAGUGGGACACGUUAUUGAUUUAUAUUGUGACUCGCAAGCUUGAUCAAAUGACCUAUCGCGAGUGGGAAGAGUGCAAAGGCAGGUUAGAUAAGGACAGCCCUAUAACGUUCGACGACUUCAUGAAAUUUCUGCGUAAUCGAGCUGAUCUUAUUGAAACCUUAGAAUUAUCGCGCAAUAAUUGUUCCCAAACAUCUAAUAAAUCAUGUCCUAAGAUAAAAUCUAUGGUAGCUACACAGUCUCUUAAUCUUUGACCCUUUAGGUCUAUUAGGCCCUAUUGUCUCCAUGAAAAUGCUGUUACAAAUUAUGUGUUAAGAUUUAUAAAGUCAUACCAGAAGCAGUAUCCUAAAACUAAUUAUUAGAAUUUUAUAUAAUAAAAAACAUCCUUGUCUAUUACAGUCCACUCAUCAAUUUACCAAAUUAUUAUUUUAUUUUGAGCAUAAAAGGCUUUUGCACGCUGGCCCGCAAUUAUUAUUAGCAUCGAUAAGGGAAUCUUAUUGGCCGAUAGGAGGCCGCAACUUGGCGAAGGCUUGUUAUUAUAAGUGCGUUCUGUGUCGGCGCAUGAAGUGUAAGCUUGUAACACCUAUUAUGGGUAACUUACCGCAAGAACGGCUUCGUCCAGGUUAUCCCUUCGAGAGUACAGGCGUUGAUUACGCCGGCCCUAUCUUGUGUGCCAGUCGUCAAGGCCGUGGAUGCAGGCUGGUAAAGGUGUACAUUGCCAUUUUUAUAUGCUUCACCACUAAAGCUAUUCAUUUGGCACUUGUUGGCGACUUAACGGGUAAAAGUUACUUACUGGCUUUGCAUCGAUUUAUUGCUCGUCGAGGAAAACCCGUUGAUAUCUUUCCGACAGCGGUACCUCAUUUGUCGGUGCAUCCAACGAACUAUCCAAGUUUUUAAAAUCGACUAGUUCGUCAUUGAGUGAAGAUGCAGCGAAAGAUGGUAUCAGGUUCCAUUUUAUACCCGCGCAUACCCCACAUUUCGGAGGACUCUGGGAGGCAGGUGUAAAGUCAACAAAGUACCACCUUAAUCGAGUGUUGGGAAAUUGUAAUUUGACGUUUGAAGAGCUUUACACCGCAUUAACUAAAAUUGAACCCGUCCUGAAUUCUCGUCCACUGACGCCGUUAUCUUCAGAUCCUGCUGAUUACAGUCCGCUCACGCCAGGACAUUUUCUUGUUGGGCGACCUCUGACUUUCAUAAAGCAACCUGACUUCAGCGAUUACUCUGCCAACCGCCUAUCUCGCUUUCAACGGAUUGAGCAGCUGCGUCAGCAUUUCUGGCACAGAUGGAGCAGAGAGUACGUUGCAGAGUUACAGCUGCGGACCAAGUGGCGUUCCUCGAAGGAUGCAUUACGGGUGAACACAUUGGUCGUGAUAAAGGAAGAUAACCUUCCUCCCUUGAAGUGGAGCUUGGGACGGCCGUCUACCCAGGGAAGGAUGGCAUCGCUCGAGUAGCCGACAUACAGACAUCCUGAUGUCUCCUACAUGUGAGACGCGCAUUUAACAGGAUCUGUCCGCAGCCGGUGUCCUCGGAUUAAUUUGGUUGAAACCGUUGCUUUCAACGCCCGGGGGCAUGUUGAAGCGCCUAGCCGUUGCUUCAUAGCAACACGUUUCCGACGGCCUAAUGAAGUUAAUUUUUAAGCAGGCGCAUUAAUGCACCGUUGUCGUCACUUGCUUGUCAUGCAUUGUACUGUGAACACCAAAAUUAUAUUUCUCCGUUGUUUGAGUAUUUC